Molecule: ribosomal RNA, 853 nt
Filed under: uncultured organism
Description: bacterial SSU rRNA
Rfam family: Bacterial small subunit ribosomal RNA
Source: RNAcentral
GAAGGGACCUAGCGUAGUUCGGAAUUACUGGGCUUAAAGAGUUCGUAGGUGGUUAAAAAAGUUGGUGGUGAAAUCCCAGAGCUUAACUCUGGAACUGCCAUCAAAACUUUUUAGCUAGAGUAUGAUAGAGGAAAGUAGAAUUUCUAGUGUAGAGGUGAAAUUCGUAGAUAUUAGAAAGAAUACCAAUUGCGAAGGCAGCUUUCUGGAUCAUUACUGACACUGAGGAACGAAAGCAUGGGUAGCGAAGAGGAUUAGAUACCCUCGUAGUCCAUGCCGUAAACGAUGUGUGUUAGACGUUGGAAAUUUAUUUUCAGUGUCGCAGCGAAAGCAAUAAACACACCGCCUGGGGAGUACGACCGCAAGGUUAAAACUCAAAUGAAUUGACGGGGACCCGCACAAGUAGUGGAGCAUGUGGUUUAAUUCGAAGAUACGCGCAGAACCUUACCAACACUUGACAUGUUCGUCGCGACUCUAAGAGAUUAGAGUUUCGGUUCGGCCGGACGAAACACAGGUGCUGCAUGGCUGUCGUCAGCUCGUGUCGUGAGAUGUUGGGUUAAGUCCCGCAACGAGCGCAACCCUUACUUUUAGUUGCCAUCAUUUAGUUGGGCACUCUAAAAGAACUGCCAGUGAUAAGCUGGAGGAAGGUGGGGAUGACGUCAAGUCCUCAUGGCCCUUACGUGUUGGGCUACACACGUGCUACAAUGGCAUUUACAAUAGGAAGCAAGGCGGCGACGUCAAGCAAAUCCUAAAAAAAUGCCUCAGUUCGGAUUGCACUCUGCAACUCGAGUGCAUGAAGCUGGAAUUACUAGUAAUCGCGGAUCAGCGUGCCGCGGUGAAUGCGUUCCCGGGUCUU